Molecule: long non-coding RNA, 1067 nt
Filed under: Cercocebus atys (sooty mangabey)
Lineage: Eukaryota; Metazoa; Chordata; Mammalia; Primates; Cercopithecidae
Description: lncRNA (ENSCATG00000045596.1)
Source: RNAcentral
CCUGCGAUUUCCUCACAGGGAGGCCGGGCCCUGAAACCCGCCCGGCGACGUGGGUGGGCCUCUGUGAAGACAGUGUCUCUUCCCAUUCAGGAACUGCCCUGGGCCGGCCCCAGGCAAAGGGAUGUUUGUUGUUUAAGUAAAUAAACUGGUCAGAGGCUCCGCUGGCUGUGCAGGCUCCGAUGCCUCCCACAAGCCUGGUCCCAACCGGGAAGGGGCCACCAACAGAAAGAAGCCACCCGAUGCCACCCACCACGACACGCCCUUCUCCCUGGCACCGCCAGGGGUGCCGGGGGGCCAGAGAGAUUCCUCUCUGCCCGGCCCAGUGAAGCCCGUCCAUCCCCGUGAAGAGCCCUGGGUUUGCACCUCAGUUUUGCCAUCUUCUUGCCUUUCCAGAGGUGAAUUAAACUCAGAGACAAGAUUGGGGAUGGAGGGAGUGAAGGGCUGUGGGAUGUGGAAGACAGUUCUUCUGAGACUGCUUCCAGAAUCUUCCCUCUCCGCAAAUCUCCUUCAUCUUGCUUCCUCAUGCACACCUGCACUCUCUCUCACACCCACACUCUGCCUUUAAACCCAGAGGUUUUUGGAGGUUUGUUUUGUUUUUCAGAGACAGGGUCUUCUUGCUCUGUUGCCCAGGCUGGAGUGCAGUGGUGUGAUCGUAGCUCACUGCAGCCUCCAACUCCUGGCCUCAAGUAAUCCUCCUGCCUCAGCCUCUGAAAUUGUAGGGAUUACAGGUGUGAGCCACUACAUCCGGCCUGAAUCUAAUUUUUUUUUUAAAUUAAAAACACUAGGAAGAGCCAAACAUCCAGAUUGCCUCAGUCAACCUGGUUCCCAGUGAAUGCUGGAAGCCGCCUGGACAGGGGUUCUUUCAAUGCUGUCCAUCUCGUGCUGGGUCUGACGUCUGACAUCUGCUGACCGCCUCCUAUGUGUCACACACUGUGCUGGGCAUGGGGGCUCCCAGGGACAACACAAAGAAUCAGUGUCUACGUUCACGGCGCUUCCAUUUUAAAUUAAGGGACACACAUAGUAAAAUAAUUUCAAUAAAAUAAAAUGUUACAAGUAUUAGAAAAGUG